UACGGAGGAUGCGAGCGUUAUCCGGAUUUAUUGGGUUUAAAGGGUGCGUAGGCGGAUCGUUAAGUCAGUGGUCAAAUUGAGGGGCUCAACCCCUUCCCGCCAUUGAAACUGGCGAUCUUGAGUGGAAGAGAAGUAUGCGGAAUGCGUGGUGUAGCGGUGAAAUGCAUAGAUAUCACGCAGAACCCCGAUUGCGAAGACAGCAUGCCGGCUUCCGACUGACGCUGAAGCACGAAAGCGUGGGGAUCGAACAGG
This 252-nucleotide ribosomal RNA is filed under the name uncultured bacterium. RNAcentral's name for it is "partial 16S ribosomal RNA". It matches the Rfam family "Bacterial small subunit ribosomal RNA", at positions 524 to 776 of the family's 1533-position model. The record is from RNAcentral.